GAUGAAGAACGUAGCGAAAUGCGAUAAGUAAUGUGAAUUGCAGAAUUCAGUGAAUCAUCGAAUCUUUGAACGCACAUUGCGCCCGCCAGUAUUCUGGCGGGCAUGCCUGUCUGAGCGUCAUUUCAACCCUCAUGCCCCUAGGGCGUGGUGUUGGGGAUCGGCCAAAGCCCGCGAGGGACGGCCGGCCCCUAAAUCUAGUGGCGGACCCGUCGUGGCCUCCUCUGCGAAGUAGUGAUAUUCCGCAUCGGAGAGCGAUGAGCCCCUGCCGUUAAACCCCCAACUUUCCAAGGUUGACCUCAAAUCAGGUAGGACUACCCGCUGAACUUAAGCAUAUCAAUAAGCGGAGGA
RNAcentral lists this unclassified non-coding RNA (348 nucleotides) under soil metagenome. RNAcentral's name for it is "partial contains 5.8S ribosomal RNA, internal transcribed spacer 2, and large subunit ribosomal RNA". The stretch from base 1 to 120 matches the Rfam family "5.8S ribosomal RNA", at positions 35 to 154 of the family's 154-position model. The record is from RNAcentral.